CCUACGGGUGGCAGCAGUGAGGAAUAUUGGUCAAUGGACGAGAGUCUGAACCAGCCAAGUAGCGUGAAGGAUGACUGCCCUAUGGGUUGUAAACUUCUUUUAUAAAGGAAUAAAACGAGGCACGUGUGCCUUUUUGCAUGUACUUUAUGAAUAAGGAUCGGCUAACUCCGUGCCAGCAGCCGCGGUAAUACGGAGGAUCCGAGCGUUAUCCGGAUUUAUUGGGUUUAAAGGGAGCGUAGAUGGGUUGUUAAGUCAGUUGUGAAAGUUUGCGGCUCAACCGUAAAAUUGCAAUUGAUACUGGGAGUCUUGAGUACAGUUGAGGUAGGCGGAAUUCGGGGUGUAGUGGUGAAAUGCUUAGAUAUCACGAAGAACACCGAUUGCGAAGGCAGAUUACUAAACUGUGACUGACAUUGAUGCUCGAAAGUGUGGGUAUCAAACAGGAUUAGAUACCCUAGUAGUC
This 460-nucleotide ribosomal RNA is filed under the name uncultured bacterium. Its description in RNAcentral is "partial 16S ribosomal RNA". It matches the Rfam family "Bacterial small subunit ribosomal RNA", at positions 338 to 795 of the family's 1533-position model. The record is from RNAcentral.